This 511-nucleotide ribosomal RNA is filed under the name uncultured bacterium. RNAcentral describes it as "partial 16S ribosomal RNA". It matches the Rfam family "Bacterial small subunit ribosomal RNA", at positions 28 to 507 of the family's 1533-position model. The record is from RNAcentral.
GAUGAACGCUGGCGGCGUGCCUAAUACAUGCAAGUCGAACGAAACUUCUUUAUCACCGAGUGCUUGCACUCACCGAUACAGAGUUGAGUGGCGAACGGGUGAGUAACACGUGGGCAACCUGCCCAAAAGAGGGGGAUAACACUAGGAAACAGGUGCUAAUACCGCAUAACCAUAGUUACCGCAUGGUAACUAUGUAAAAGGUGGCUAUACUACCGCUUUUGGAUGGGCCCGGGGCGCAUUAGCUAGUUGGUAGGGUAAAGGCUUACCAAGGCAAUGAUGCGUAGCCGAAUGGAGAGGUGGAUCGGCACCAGUGAGACUGAGAGACGGCCCAAACACCUACGGGAGGCAGCGGUAGGGAAUGUACCAAAAGGGGCGAAACCUGAUGGAGCAACGCCGCGUGGGUGAAGAAGGUCUUCGGAUCGUAAAACCCUGUUGUUAGAGAAGAAAGUGUGUGGGAGUAACUGUUCACGUUUCGACGGUAUCUAGUCAGAAAGCCACGGCUAACUACGUG